GGGGCUGUUUGGUUUUGACAGCAGGUAGAACAGGUAUGUAAGCAUGCCGAGCACUGCGAAUACGGCUCGCUAAUCUUGAUUCGAAAACAAUUUAACUGGCGAAACAUCUUACGCUCUCGCUGCCUGAUCGAAGUAUAGUAGAUAGGCUUUAUUUCGGCACAAGGUGCUGAAACGAGACAUCUCCCGACUGCCCUUUUUCCCCGAGGCGUGUCGAACAGGAGGUGCGGAAAUAUCGAGGAUAGGCAAGUUCGGCUUCGAUAACUUGCCGAAAUCUAAAGAAGCUAAGACGCCGGUUGGUGGCUCAGGUCUUGCCGACGUACGAAAACCAAAGCUGGGAUAAGCAUGUAGAAAGCGUAUUGGUUCCUUGUUUGGACGAGGGUUCGACUCCCUCCAGCUCCACA
RNAcentral lists this transfer-messenger RNA (401 nucleotides) under pig gut metagenome. It matches the Rfam family "transfer-messenger RNA". From Rfam's summary of the family: Bacterial tmRNA, also known as 10Sa RNA or SsrA, is named for its dual tRNA and mRNA-like properties. Its role is to liberate the mRNA from a stalled ribosome. The record is from RNAcentral.